AUAAAGUGCAGAUGAAUCAGAUCCUGAUAAUUAUCAGCUGGUGAAUGCUGAGUAUCUGAUAAAGCCCUUGAAUGUUUAAGAAGGGCAUGGAGAGCAGGAGGCUGCCUGAUGUUGUGGCUGGCUCUUGUGCAAUGCCUGGUGGGAUGCUGUGUCCUGCUGUGCUGCAGAGUCAGUUGAAACAGAUACUGCGAUUCAGCCCAAGUUCUGAGGAGCUUCAGUUUCCCAAAAUAAGGUACCAGUCUACGGAGUCUCCAAAACUCAAGAGCAGAUCAAGAGCUGCCAUCAAGAGCAGAUACCUCAGGAGACAAAUGCUACGGUUUUCCCACAGUAACAACACAUUUUUAUACAUGGAAGGAAACUGCUGGAUGUGAAGACACCGCACCCUAGUGAAAGCACAUAUAAAAUUCAGUUGCUGUUAUUUGGAGAGAGUGAAACAGCAAAAUAUUUUACUGUAUUCUUUCUGUUUUGAUGCCAUAUGAUGACUGAACUUUCACAUUUAAAA
This 502-nucleotide long non-coding RNA is filed under the name Anser brachyrhynchus (Pink-footed goose). RNAcentral describes it as "lncRNA (ENSABRG00000005529.1)". The record is from RNAcentral. Lineage: Eukaryota; Metazoa; Chordata; Aves; Anseriformes; Anatidae.